Molecule: long non-coding RNA, 714 nt
Filed under: Homo sapiens (human)
Lineage: Eukaryota; Metazoa; Chordata; Mammalia; Primates; Hominidae
Description: non-protein coding SATB1-AS1:23
Source: RNAcentral
GGGAGCUUAGAUGUGGAAGCUCUUUGGAAACCAAGAAACACUCUGAAAAUGAAAAGGGUGGAAGAGUAAACUGUUCCUGUUUCUCCAUCUUGACAGGAAGCAGAAGUUCUCCUUAGCUGAUUUUUCUUCUUGCCUUAUACUGGGUUCUUUAACACCAGAACAAAAAUAAAUAAAUAAAAGAAUCUUCCAGAAAUUCAUGAAGAGACUUCAGGUCAGGAAAGCCUGAACUUUCUCAUCCAACACCCGUUCAAGUCGGAGGAUGCUGAUUAAUUCAUGAUGGAAAGGUAUCAAUUUCACAGCCCAGACCUCUACAUUCUUGAAAUGCUCUUCUCAUGGGAGACAUUAAAUAAGCUUUGAAUUAACUGGACUUAUCUUCCUCAGUUCUCUGUGAUGAACUUUUGUAGAGCCAUACGAAAGGAGGUUUUUAGCUCUCACCUGUGGUCUUUCUUCAUCAUGCACCUCCUAGAUUCAAAAGUUCAGCAGGGACAUGUCAAGCUAUAUAAAUAAAAACAAACUAAGAAAAAAUGUAACAUUCCAUACCUUAAAACGCAACCUUAAUAACGUGAAAGACCCUGAAGGACUUGAGACGUGAAGAUUUUCUACCACGGUCUUUGCCUGUAUUAUUUCUGACAGCUGUUCCUUUCUACUCCCUCUUGCACACAUCUUUAGUUACUCCCUGUUCUCCAUCCCUCUGAUAAAAUCUAGAGUUCCCCC